AAGGCUUUAGCUUAAUUAAAGCGUCUGAGUUGCAUUUAGAAGAUACAGGAUAGGGUCUUGUAAGUUUUA
This 69-nucleotide transfer RNA is filed under the name Palea steindachneri (wattle-necked softshell turtle). RNAcentral's name for it is "tRNA-Ala". It matches the Rfam family "tRNA". Rfam says of the family: Transfer RNA (tRNA) molecules are approximately 80 nucleotides in length. Their secondary structure includes four short double-helical elements and three loops (D, anti-codon, and T loops). Lineage: Eukaryota; Metazoa; Chordata; Testudines; Trionychidae. The record is from RNAcentral.